GAUUAAUAUGUCUUGCUUGUAGGUAUAUUAUGUUUUUUUUCUACCUUUUAGUUAGGUUUCAUAUCUCACUUAUAGGUAUAAUAUACAUUCAUAUAUUUGCUACUUGAGUUGGGGUAGAAUGUUUUGCAGAUAGAUUUAUGUUAGUAUAUUAAUUUUUUUUUGUUUAUAAGAUAUUAAUUAGAUAUUUUGGAGUUGAAAAAUGCAUAAUAUUAAAAGAUUUUAAUUGAUUUUUAAUAUUUUUAGAAAAUAUAAAAGGAGUAUAAAAGAAAUAAAAACAUAUAAUUAGAUAAC
RNAcentral lists this long non-coding RNA (291 nucleotides) under Malus domestica (apple). RNAcentral's name for it is "long non-coding RNA (MDOM_LNC004867)". Lineage: Eukaryota; Viridiplantae; Streptophyta; Magnoliopsida; Rosales; Rosaceae. The record is from RNAcentral.